CACUAAGAAGCUUACCAGGAUCAAGCGCCAGCCUUUUAAGCUGGAGAUCGGUGGCUACCAACCACCCUUAAUGA
This 74-nucleotide transfer RNA is filed under the name Antimora microlepis (finescale mora). RNAcentral describes it as "tRNA-Lys". It matches the Rfam family "tRNA". Rfam says of the family: Transfer RNA (tRNA) molecules are approximately 80 nucleotides in length. RNAcentral also lists the same sequence under 1 other name. Lineage: Eukaryota; Metazoa; Chordata; Actinopteri; Gadiformes; Moridae. The record is from RNAcentral.